UACGUAGGUCCCGAGCGUUGUCCGGAUUUAUUGGGCGUAAGGCGAGCGCAGGUGGUUUAUUAAGUCUGGUGUAAAAAGCAGUGGCUCAACCAUUGUAUGCAUUGGAAACUGGUAGACUUGAGUGCAGGAGAGGAGAGUGGAAUUCCAUGUGUAGCGGUGAAAUGCGUAGAUAUAUGGAGGAACACCGGUGGCGAAAGCGGCUCUCUGGCCUGUAACUGACACUGAGGCUCGAAAGCGUGGGGAGCAAACAGG
RNAcentral lists this ribosomal RNA (252 nucleotides) under uncultured bacterium. RNAcentral describes it as "partial 16S ribosomal RNA". It matches the Rfam family "Bacterial small subunit ribosomal RNA", at positions 524 to 776 of the family's 1533-position model. The record is from RNAcentral.